UACGGAGGGUGCAAGCGUUAUCCGGAUUCACUGGGUUUAAAGGGUGCGUAGGCGGGCAGGUAAGUCAGAGGUGAAAUCUUCGGGCUUAACCCGGAAACUGCCUUUGAUACUAUCUGUCUUGAAUAUGGUGGAGGUAAGCGGAAUAUGUCAUGUAGCGGUGAAAUGCUUAGAGAUGACAUAGAACACCUAUUGCGAAGGCAGCUUACUACGCCUAUAUUGACGCUGAGGCACGAAAGCGUGGGGAGCAAACAGG
RNAcentral lists this ribosomal RNA (253 nucleotides) under uncultured bacterium. Its description in RNAcentral is "partial 16S ribosomal RNA". It matches the Rfam family "Bacterial small subunit ribosomal RNA", at positions 524 to 776 of the family's 1533-position model. The record is from RNAcentral.